UUAAAUGGAUGAAAUAUGAAGUUUUAUUAAAAGAAAAAGAGGUGAAAAGAACAAAGUUUUGUCCAUCUUUGUUCAUCAUAGCUGAAAGUUAGAGAAGAGAAAGGAGAGGAGAAAGCUCUUGAGUAUUCGGUCAUUAGAAGGAGGAAAAUUGAAGGAAAUCCCCAACCAUAGUGGGCUUGGAGCUAUGAGGGAAUUCGGAGUGGCCACCCGUUCUGAAAGUUUGAUUUUCUUCUGGUGAACUGGACAUCCUUUUAUUUACGUUUGAAGUUUUGGGUUUUUAAAUGUAAUAAGGCCGCUUAUUUAUUUUUGAUGGUUUUUUUUAUAUGUAUUACUAAGAUAGGUAAUACUUAUUUUAACUGUUGAAAUUGGAUAGCUUUAGGGCGCAUUUUCAAAAACAACAA
Long non-coding RNA from Gossypium arboreum, 401 nucleotides. RefSeq lists it as uncharacterized. The record is from RefSeq and is a predicted model, not a curated record. The transcript has 2 exons. NCBI's taxonomy places the organism in Eukaryota, Viridiplantae, Streptophyta, Magnoliopsida, Malvales, Malvaceae.